GCAAAACGCGAAGAACCUUACCAGGCCUUGACAUCCAAUGAACUUUCUAGAGAUAGAUUGGUGCCUUCGGGAACAUUGAGACAGGUGCUGCAUGGCUGUCGUCAGCUCGUGUCGUGAGGUGUUGGGUUAAGUCCCGUAACGAGCGCAACCCUUGUCCUUAGUUACCAGCACGUAAUGGUGGGCACUCUAAGGAGACUGCCGGUGACAAACCGGAGGAAGGUGGGGAUGACGUCAAGUCAUCAUGGCCCUUACGGCCUGGGCUACACACGUGCUACAAUGGUCGGUACAAAGGGUUGCCAAGCCGCGAGGUGGAGCUAAUCCCAUAAAACCGAUCGUAGUCCGGAUCGCAGUCUGCAACUCGACUGCGUGAAGUCGGAAUCGCUAGUAAUCGUGAAUCAGAAUGUCGCGGUGAAUACGUUCCCGGGUCUUGUACACACCG
RNAcentral lists this ribosomal RNA (439 nucleotides) under uncultured bacterium. RNAcentral describes it as "bacterial SSU rRNA". It matches the Rfam family "Bacterial small subunit ribosomal RNA", at positions 954 to 1392 of the family's 1533-position model. The record is from RNAcentral.